AAGCUCGUAGUUGAAUUUCGAGACCGGUCUACUGGUCGUGCUUUUGUACGUACUGGUAUAAUCGGUUUCUCUCUUUUGACAAACUAUAAUGCCAUUAAUUUGGUGUUUUAGGGAAUCAGGACUGUUACUUUGAAAAAAUUAGAGUGUUUAAAGCAGGCUCACGCUUGAAUACAUUAGCAUGAAAUAACGAAAUAGGACGUUUGAUUCUAUUUUGUUGGUUUCUAGGAUCGAUGUCGGUAAUGAUUAAUAGGGAUAGUUGGG
RNAcentral lists this ribosomal RNA (261 nucleotides) under uncultured Glomus. Its description in RNAcentral is "partial 18S ribosomal RNA". It matches the Rfam family "Eukaryotic small subunit ribosomal RNA", at positions 624 to 886 of the family's 1831-position model. Lineage: Eukaryota; Fungi; Glomeromycota; Glomeromycetes; Glomerales; Glomeraceae. The record is from RNAcentral.